RNAcentral lists this ribosomal RNA (253 nucleotides) under uncultured bacterium. RNAcentral describes it as "partial 16S ribosomal RNA". It matches the Rfam family "Bacterial small subunit ribosomal RNA", at positions 524 to 776 of the family's 1533-position model. The record is from RNAcentral.
UACGUAGGGUGCAAGCGUUGUCCGGAAUUAUUGGGCGUAAAGAGCUCGUAGGCGGUCUGUCGCGUCUGCUGUGAAAACUCAGGGCUUAACCCUGAGCUUGCAGUGGGUACGGGCAGACUAGAGUGCGGUAGGGGAGACUGGAAUUCCUGGUGUAGCGGUGAAAUGCGCAGAUAUCAGGAGGAACACCGGUGGCGAAGGCGGGUCUCUGGGCCGGAACUGACGCUAAGGAGCGAAAGCGUGGGGAGCGAACAGG